UUAAUAGAACACUGGAUAUCUUAAGAUUACGUGACAACUCUGUUCCCACAUUAUUUUUGACACCCAAAGAAGGCCCCCAGGAGUCGUUGGUUUUACAUGAUAUUACUAACAUCAGAAAGCAUAAUGAUACUGCCACAUCAACUGAUGUGUUCCCAUUGCCAUUAUCCUAUGAAAAUAUAAAACCAAAGCAUAAGGAGUUUGUUUCGUUUGACGAAAGGCUAUUUGAAAUAAUAAAUAAUUACUUUGCC
This is a long non-coding RNA of Helicoverpa zea (corn earworm), 248 nucleotides long. RefSeq lists it as uncharacterized. The record is from RefSeq and is a predicted model, not a curated record. NCBI's taxonomy places the organism in Eukaryota, Metazoa, Arthropoda, Insecta, Lepidoptera, Noctuidae. The transcript has 2 exons.